UGCUACUUGUCUCGAUGCGUGCCGCGCGCCUCAGAACGAGGACCGACGCCCGAGCGGUGGCCCUGGCCGGUGAAGACCGGCGUCCGAGCGGCGGCCCUGGCAGGUGAAGACAGGCGCCACGAGCGGCGGCCCUGAUCCCGUGCGCCGCCGCCAACCCCAACCUCCCGUCGAUCGCUCCACGGCCAAAAGUCCGAUGAUGGUGCUCCACCUCCCAAGGACCAGUUUAACCACUACAGUUCGUCACCACUCACCACUACCCGUCCUCUUCCACACGGUUCGUCCACCGCCGGUGCUCCACCUCCCGAAGACCUGCCCACUUCUGGUUCUCCACAUCGCAGCUGAAGGUGAGCUACCCCACCUCUCUGUAAACCUGUGAUUCCCAUGAAAAUAAGCACUCCUGCAGAAUGUGUUUUGUAGGCAAUACAUGCCCUUGCUUUUUGUGUCAAAUGUUAGCACUUGGAGACAACAAAUAGAACACUGUAUUUGUGCUUGUUUUGUGUCAAAUGUUAGCAGCUUCAAUACUUCAAUACUGCAUACACAGUAAUGCAAUUUGUGCUUGUUUCCUGAAACUAGAUAUAUAAAUGGUGUAUAUUUAUGUUGUGAUUUGAUCAGGUCAAUGUUGUUUGACAGACUAAUGUCCUCUUUUUUAGAUGUUUUCUGAACAUGAUGAGGAACUGAAUGAGAAUGAAGAUGCAUUUAUGAGUGUAGAGGCAGAUGCAGAAGCAGGAGACAAAUCCGUCUUACAUAGUAUUAUUGACGAUGAAGUUGUCGAAGGUGCCAAUCUAGAAGCUGCUCAAGAUGACAAGCCAAUUGAAGCUGAAUCAUGAAUCUUCUUACUUUGUGUCAUAUGAAUCUUGUUACUUGCUAUCAAAUGUAAACAUGUACUGGUACUGUGUUACUUGUUGUUGCAUAUAAACAUGUAUUGGUACUUUCUACCCUCAAAUAUAAACAUGUAUUGGUACUUUCUGUCCCAUGCUCUGUCCUCCUCUGCUCUGUUCAAUUCCCCUAUCUUAUAAACUUCAGUUUUUUGAACAGCAUGGGUUCAGACAGUAGGAUGACAACCCAACAUCUCAAUUCCUACUUGUAUUGCUGGGAGAGUAUGGAAGCU
Molecule: long non-coding RNA, 1108 nt
Filed under: Triticum aestivum (bread wheat)
Lineage: Eukaryota; Viridiplantae; Streptophyta; Magnoliopsida; Poales; Poaceae
Description: long non-coding RNA (TAES_LNC009655)
Source: RNAcentral